RNAcentral lists this ribosomal RNA (429 nucleotides) under Chloroflexota bacterium. RNAcentral's name for it is "Chloroflexi bacterium partial 16S ribosomal RNA". It matches the Rfam family "Bacterial small subunit ribosomal RNA", at positions 355 to 776 of the family's 1533-position model. Lineage: Bacteria; Bacillati; Chloroflexota. The record is from RNAcentral.
UGGGGAAUAUUGCACAAUGGGCGCAAGCCUGAUGCAGCCAUGCCGCGUGUAUGAAGAAGGCCUUCGGGUUGUAAAGUACUUUCAGCGGGGAGGAAGGGAGUAAAGUUAAUACCUUUGCUCAUUGACGUUACCCGCAGAAGAAGCACCGGCUAACUCCGUGCCAGCAGCCGCGGUAAUACGGAGGGUGCAAGCGUUAAUCGGAAUUACUGGGCGUAAAGCGCACGCAGGCGGUUUGUUAAGUCAGAUGUGAAAUCCUCGGGCUCAACCUGGGAACUGCAUCUGAUACUGGCAAGCUUGAGUCUCGUAGAGGGGGGUAGAAUUCCAGGUGUAGCGGUGAAAUGCGAAGAGAUCUGGAGGAAUACCGGUGGCGAAGGCGGCACCCUGGACGAAGACUGACGCUCAGGUGCGAAAGCGUGGGGAGCAAACAGG